UUAAGCGACUAAGCGUACACGGUGGAUGCCCUGGCAGUCAGAGGCGAUGAAGGACGUGCUAAUCUGCGAAAAGCGUCGGUAAGGUGAUAUGAACCGUUAUAGCCGGCGAUGUCCGAAUGGGGAAACCCAGUGUGAUUCGUCACACUAUCGUUAACUGAAUACAUAGGUUAACGAGGCGAACCGGGGGAACUGAAACAUCUAAGUACCCCGAGGAAAAGAAAUCAACCGAGAUUCCCCCAGUAGCGGCGAGCGAACGGGGAGCAGCCCAGAGUCUGAAUCAGCUUGUGUGUUAGUGGAACGGUCUGGAAAGUCCGACGGUACAGGGUGAUAGUCCCGUACACCAAAAUGCACAGGUUGUGAACUCGAAGAGUAGGGCGGGACACGUGGUAUCCUGUCUGAAUAUGGGGGGACCAUCCUCCAAGGCUAAAUACUCCUGACUGACCGAUAGUGAACCAGUACCGUGAGGGAAAGGCGAAAAGAACCCCGGCGAGGGGAGUGAAAAAGAACCUGAAACCGUGUACGUACAAGCAGUGGGAGCACCUUCGGGUGUGACUGCGUACCUUUUGUAUAAUGGGUCAGCGACUUAUAUUCUGUAGCAAGGUUAACCGUAUAGGGGAGCCGCAGGGAAACCGAGUCUUAACUGGGCGUUAAGUUGCAGGGUAUAGACCCGAAACCCGGUGAUCUAGCCAUGGGCAGGUUGAAGGUUGGGUAACACUAACUGGAGGACCGAACCGACUAAUGUUGAAAAAUUAGCGGAUGACUUGUGGCUGGGGGUGAAAGGCCAAUCAAACCGGGAGAUAGCUGGUUCUCCCCGAAAGCUAUUUAGGUAGCGCCUCGUGAAUUCAUCUUCGGGGGUAGAGCACUGUUUCGGCUAGGGGGUCAUCCCGACUUACCAACCCGAUGCAAACUACGAAUACCGAAGAAUGUUAUCACGGGAGACACACGGCGGGUGCUAACGUCCGUCGUGAAGAGGGAAACAACCCAGACCGCCAGCUAAGGUCCCAAAGUCAUGGUUAAGUGGGAAACGAUGUGGGAAGGCACAGACAGCCAGGAUGUUGGCUUAGAAGCAGCCAUCAUUUAAAGAAAGCGUAAUAGCUCACUGGUCGAGUCGGCCUGCGCGGAAGAUGUAACGGGGCUAAACCAUGCACCGAAGCUGCGGCAGCGACACUAUGUGUUGUUGGGUAGGGGAGCGUUCUGUAAGCCUGCGAAGGUGACCUGUGAGGGUUGCUGGAGGUAUCAGAAGUGCGAAUGCUGACAUAAGUAACGAUAAAGCGGGUGAAAAGCCCGCUCGCCGGAAGACCAAGGGUUCCUGUCCAACGUUAAUCGGGGCAGGGUGAGUCGACCCCUAAGGCGAGGCCGAAAGGCGUAGUCGAUGGGAAACAGGUUAAUAUUCCUGUACUUGGUGUUACUGCGAAGGGGGGACGGAGAAGGCUAUGUUAGCCGGGCGACGGUUGUCCCGGUUUAAGCAUGUAGGCUGGUUGUCCAGGCAAAUCCGGAUAAUCAAGGCUGAGGUGUGAUGACGAAGCACUACGGUGCUGAAGUAACAAAUGCCCUGCUUCCAGGAAAAGCCUCUAAGCAUCAGGUAACAUCAAAUCGUACCCCAAACCGACACAGGUGGUCAGGUAGAGAAUACCAAGGCGCUUGAGAGAACUCGGGUGAAGGAACUAGGCAAAAUGGUGCCGUAACUUCGGGAGAAGGCACGCUGGUGUGUAGGUGAAGUCCCUGCGGAUGGAGCUGAGACCAGUCGAAGAUACCAGCUGGCUGCAACUGUUUAUUAAAAACACAGCACUGUGCAAACACGAAAGUGGACGUAUACGGUGUGACGCCUGCCCGGUGCCGGAAGGUUAAUUGAUGGGGUUAUCCGUAAGGAGAAGCUCUUGAUCGAAGCCCCGGUAAACGGCGGCCGUAACUAUAACGGUCCUAAGGUAGCGAAAUUCCUUGUCGGGUAAGUUCCGACCUGCACGAAUGGCGUAAUGAUGGCCAGGCUGUCUCCACCCGAGACUCAGUGAAAUUGAACUCGCUGUGAAGAUGCAGUGUACCCGCGGCAAGACGGAAAGACCCCGUGAACCUUUACUAUAGCUUGACACUGAACAUUGAGCCUUGAUGUGUAGGAUAGGUGGGAGGCUUUGAAGCGUGGACGCCAGUCUGCGUGGAGCCAACCUUGAAAUACCACCCUUUAAUGUUUGAUGUUCUAACGUUGGCCCCUGACCGGGGUUGCGGACAGUGUCUGGUGGGUAGUUUGACUGGGGCGGUCUCCUCCCAAAGCGUAACGGAGGAGCACGAAGGUUAGCUAAUCCUGGUCGGACAUCAGGAGGUUAGUGCAAUGGCAUAAGCUAGCUUGACUGCGAGCGUGACGGCGCGAGCAGGUGCGAAAGCAGGUCAUAGUGAUCCGGUGGUUCUGAAUGGAAGGGCCAUCGCUCAACGGAUAAAAGGUACUCCGGGGAUAACAGGCUGAUACCGCCCAAGAGUUCAUAUCGACGGCGGUGUUUGGCACCUCGAUGUCGGCUCAUCACAUCCUGGGGCUGAAGUAGGUCCCAAGGGUAUGGCUGUUCGCCAUUUAAAGUGGUACGCGAGCUGGGUUUAGAACGUCGUGAGACAGUUCGGUCCCUAUCUGCCGUGGGCGCUGGAGAAUUGAGGGGGGCUGCUCCUAGUACGAGAGGACCGGAGUGGACGCAUCACUGGUGUUCGGGUUGUCAUGCCAAUGGCACUGCCCGGUAGCUAAAUGCGGAAGAGAUAAGUGCUGAAAGCAUCUAAGCACGAAACUUGCCCCGAGAUGAGUUCUCCCUGAGACUUUAAGUCUCCUGAAGGAACGUUGAAGACGACGACGUUGAUAGGCCGGGUGUGUAAGCGCAGCGAUGCGUUGAGCUAACCGGUACUAAUGAACCGUGAGGCUUAACCUU
RNAcentral lists this ribosomal RNA (2900 nucleotides) under Klebsiella pneumoniae. RNAcentral's name for it is "bacterial LSU rRNA". It matches the Rfam family "Bacterial large subunit ribosomal RNA". Lineage: Bacteria; Pseudomonadati; Pseudomonadota; Gammaproteobacteria; Enterobacterales; Enterobacteriaceae. The record is from RNAcentral.